Non-coding RNA from Paramuricea clavata, 73 nucleotides. Lineage: Eukaryota; Metazoa; Cnidaria; Anthozoa; Malacalcyonacea; Plexauridae. The record is from the annotation of a GenBank genome assembly.
GACCGCGUAGCUCAGUUGGUAGAGCAUUGGGCUAGUAUUCCAAAGGUCGUAGGUUCGAUUCCCACCGUGGCCA